AACGAACGCUGGCGGCACGUUUUAAGCAUGCAAGUCGAACGGCAGUGGGGGCAACCCCAUGAGAGUGGCGAACGGGUGAGUAACACGUAGGUGAUCUGCCUUUGGGUUGGGGAUAGCUUGUGGAAACACAGGGUAAUACCGAAUGAGCUGACGAGGCUUUGGCCAUGUUAGUAAAGGUGCUACGGCACCGCCUAGAGAGGAGCCUGCGGCUGAUUAGCUAGUUGGUGGGGUAAAGGCCUACCAAGGCGACGAUCAGUAGCCGGCCUGAGAGGGUGUACGGCCACACUGGAACUGAGACCCGGUCCAGACUCCUACGGGAGGCAGCAGCUAAGAAUCUUCCGCAAUGGGCGAAAGCCUGACGGAGCGAUGCCGCGUGAUCGAUGAAGGUCGAGAGAUUGUAAAGAUCUUUUCCAACUGAGGAAUAAGUGGACCGGGGAAUGGGUUCAUGAUGACGUUAAGUUGGGAAUAAGCCCCGGCUAAUUACGUGCCAGCAGCCGCCGUAA
This 503-nucleotide ribosomal RNA is filed under the name uncultured bacterium. RNAcentral's name for it is "partial 16S ribosomal RNA". It matches the Rfam family "Bacterial small subunit ribosomal RNA", at positions 29 to 523 of the family's 1533-position model. The record is from RNAcentral.